This 3556-nucleotide unclassified non-coding RNA is filed under the name Leishmania donovani. RNAcentral describes it as "gene:LdHU3.22.2170(CDS-product:hypothetical_prote in_conserved)". Lineage: Eukaryota; Euglenozoa; Kinetoplastea; Trypanosomatida; Trypanosomatidae. The record is from RNAcentral.
CUGCAAAUAUCCCCUUCUUGUGCUUCCAUCGUCCGCUGUGGUGAUCAUCGAGGCGUACACCACCGAGUGAGCCUUAACAGGCUUGCGCCUACUCUCUACCGGGUCAUUUUCAGUGCCAGCUGCCGCGUGUUGGGGAGGAGACUCUGUUCGUCACCAUCCCUCCCUCCCUUCUCCUGCUCCUCUCCGCUUCUUCCACAGCUCGCAGGUCUGCCCAAGCGGAGAGAGGUUUGCGUUGUUUCCUGUUGACGCCCCUUUUCCCUCUUGAUGUGACCGAUGACUUCUUGGCGCGUUUCCUUCAACUACGCUGAUGCGCGCACCUGUCGCACUGCCGCGCUCUAGGCGCGUCUUCGUUAGCUCCCACCGCUUCUCACUGCCGCAUCACCGACCCACAGGGAGACUGCACGACGGCGACUCGCCUCUGUGGAGUCGCGAGCUGACAGACCGCACACGCGUGCCGAUGAGUCUCAGCGCUUCCAUCGGCAAUGUGGUCUCUGGGGACCCUUUGCAAGUGCCGUUUCGGGCUCUGCUGCUCGGGUACGCCACCCACCCUACGCUGCUGUCUCUCGCGACGGGCCACACGCUGCUGUUCGACGCGCUGUCGGCGAGCACCGACCUGCUGCAGCAGCGCACCAUGCUGAAUCCGUGCAGGGGGCACCUAGUCGAGAUGCAGGGGCGCUGCGUCGAUGCCGCUUGGCGCCUCGUUCGCUAUUAUCAAGCGGAUGCGCAGCGGGUGCUCGAGCUUCCCUUGAAGCACCGCCACCUCCUCGACGACAUGCGUCUCGUGUACCUCAUCACCUCUGCGAGCCCCAACGCGGGUUUGCUGGUGUCCAAGGAGCUGACACACGGUCGAGAAUUAUCGCUAGACGUGGCGUGCACGUUGCUCUCCCUCCCUUGCACGCCUGACAUCCUUCGCGCGAUUCUAGUCUUCACUUUCCGCACGCACGCGGCCGCUGUUGACGCGCCGCACUUCCAGCGGUGCGCGCACGCACUGCUCAGUAACGACAACUUCUUCAGCGAGCGAACCUUCGCCUCCAUGCACAGUCUCCUCCACGACGUCUUGCUGCCGUCACUGCGUUGUGGCGCUGCCCGAAACGACUCUUUCGACUUUGUCGCUGUGCGUUGGACGACGCUGAUGAACAAGUGGUCCCGUGUGUACGCGAAAUCUGGGCGGGGCUUUGACCUGCACGACUGCUUGGAAACGCUUCUGCAGGCUGUGCCUGCGGCCGAGACGAAGCUGCCUGCUUCGUUCUACAUACGGCUGCUCGGCGCACUCCUUGAUGCAACAGCGGCAGGCGAGGCGCCCAGGAGCGCGAAGGCUGGGUGGGAACGAAUGAAGACGGUGGCCGGCGACGCCCUCCGCCUCUUUGGGCGCAACCCGGAGGAUCUGCGCGCUGUUUGGGUGUUACUUCUGAAAGGAGCGCUGACACUCCCACCCGCUGAGGGGGAUCACUGGCGCCUUCUUGAAGCCUAUCAUCUGUGCGCGCAGCGUGGCCAUGCAGUCGUGGUUGACCGACAAGGGUUUCGGCAAGUAAUUCGACUUGUUGCCGCUGCAGUGAGCGCGCUGCCUCUUCCGCAGGUGACACAGUUAGUGAGGAGCUUCUGCACCUUUCUGCAUGAGCAGACUUCCGUCAGCUUUCUGUGGUUGCUGGACGGGGUCGGCACAGUGCUGACCGAGCUGUGGCAGCAUCACCGACUAGAAGCACAGGGAGAGGCGGAGCAGCUGCUGCGCGUGCUGAGGAUGCUGCUGCGCGAGCGGUGCGUGAGUGGGGUCGAGCUGCACAGCAAUCCCGUCAUUGCCCGUGCUCUGGACCACUUCCGAAUCGGUGGCGCAGCCGCAUACUGGUGGACAUGCGGAUGCGGGGAGGUGAUCCCUUGCACUUCCAAGCGCUGCGCAUCAUGCCUACGCAAGUCAGGCGUGUCGUGGGUUUGCCCGCAGUGCCACGCUGCACACAAGCUACCGUGCAAAACGCAGUCCUGCUCGUGCGAAUGCCUCAACCCUCGCAUGGCCGCCGCCGUCAACGCCAACGUUUGCAUCUGCGAUAAGUGCGGUGGACUCAUCACGGCCGCAGGCUGUAUCUGCGCCCGUUGCAAGCAGCAGCGCCAGGAGAGUGAGCGCACGGUGGAGUGCGCCCACUGCCACGGCACAUACAAGGGCAACGGGUUGCAUUGCCCUCAGUGCUUUUCGCCGAACCCGGACAAGUACCUGCACCUGUGGCACUGUGUAGACUGCGACGACUUCAACUACUCCAUUUGGUCGUCGUGCCGCUCCUGCAAAACGCCGAGACGGAUUGGUGCGCUGCGCGUGUCGUUUGUGCCGUGGAAAUGCGGCUGCGGCGCCCUUAACCACCCUUGCCGCCUCACGUGUGGGAGGUGCGGCACCGGCGAACACCACCACACGUACACAUGUGCCGGCUGCGACGCCCGCGUCUCCCUGCACUCGCUGCGUCGUACUCUACUUACCGUAGAUGGAAAGACACUUUCCCUACACCUCUGCCCGAAGUGCCAGUGCCCCCACCCCCGCGACGAUCUUGUGCUCUACUCACCGUCCUUUUCCCGGCACUGCAUGCUAUGCGCACACACGGUGAAGCCCUCCAGCAUCUCUGCAAGCGGCUCAUUUUUCCACUGUGACACAGUGCAGCGGGUGAAUGAACACUACCUGUUUCGCUGCACCCACUGCGACUACACAGAGCUGCAGACAGGAUACCACUGCCAGCGGUGCCAUUUCCCUCGCCCAGAGAUGGAGGCGUUGCUGCAGGAUGAGUCGGCCGGUGCCGCGCCGCUCAGCCACGUCUGGCGCUGCCUUCACGAGACGGACGACGGUGCACUGUGUGGUCAGUGGAACUACGGCUGGAGCGCGCACUGCCUCGCUUGCAGGAGAGGGCGUCCUGACUCGGCCUGCGAGUGCCGUGCCAAGGCGCAAAUGUGGGCGUGUGACACCUGCGGGAAGCCGAAUCGGCCCAUCGACGUUCUCUUUUGUGCGCACUGCAAGACUGGGCUUCAGCCUGUGCUAGCAUGUGCCACGUGCGGACUGCCGCACAUGUCCUACGCCUGUCGCGCGUGCCUUUGAGAGCGGACUGCCGCACGUGCCCGAGAAUGCACCUCCACGCACCCUUCUUCCACCGCAGCGUAGCGAAGUUGCGGUGUGGUGGAGCAUGGCGAGACGCCGGGAGAGGAUGCAUGCGUCUUUGUCUCUGCGUGUGCACCUUUUUCUCUUUGCCUUUCGCCAGAAGGGCAGAGACCACUUGGUGCGUGCCUCCGCGUAUAUGCGUGCUUGUGCCACUCUCGGUGCAGAGGUGUAUGGCGAUGGUGUGCGUAGUCACACGAAGAGCAGCGCGCUUCUUUUCAGUCGACUGCUGCGUGUCCGCCUUGCGCGUCAACGCUCUUUUUAGAAGUUCUUUCCCUUCUUUUGCCCGUGACUGGCUGCAGCCAGCGGCGCUCCAGCAGUGCACUGGGAUGCGUGCGCGGGGCACUCCCAGCCACACGCGCUCUGUCCCGCACUUCUUCCAUGCCUUUCUCGUAUCCACCCUCCCCUACCGGCCUACACUUUCUAUCGAAG